RNAcentral lists this ribosomal RNA (972 nucleotides) under Triticum aestivum (bread wheat). RNAcentral's name for it is "partial small subunit ribosomal RNA". Lineage: Eukaryota; Viridiplantae; Streptophyta; Magnoliopsida; Poales; Poaceae. The record is from RNAcentral.
AUGGCUGUUUCAUCUGGUGAACGUCCAACCAGCUCGGGAGUGCCCCAAUCGCCAGAAAAUGAAACUUUGGCAAGUUCAGAAGCAAUUGUGUCUUCUCCGAUAGCACAGGAGCGACGCAGUCGCGCCUUGGACAUCUCUUCAGAGGAAGCGCUUCAAAUUAAUUCGGUGAAGAUGAAGAGUAAAGAGCAACGACGUUGGUACAUCGAGGAACCGGAAAAUUUUGAAGAUGCAAAGACGGAAGAGUGUUGGCGUCGUGCUAUGGAUGACGAAUUUGGUUCGAUCCGAGACAACGAUACAUGGGAGCUCGCGGAUCUUCCCAACGGACAUAAUGCCAUAGAGUUCAAGUGGGAGUACGAAGUUAAGAAGGGUGCCGAAGGGAACUUGGUGAAGCACAAAGCAAGGCUCGUGGCUAAAUCAAACAUGCAAGACCAAGGUGUGGACUUCGAAGAAGUGUUCGCUCCACUUGCAAGGAUGGACACGGUGAGGCUACUUAUAGCUCUCGCGGCUCAAGAAUCUUGGACUCUACAUCACAUGGGUGUGAACUCCACGUUGUUGACUGGGGAGUUAGAAGAAGAGUUGUAUGUGAAGCAACCACCGGGGUACAUCCAAGAAGGAGAGGAACACAAGGUAUUGAAGCUACAGAAGGCGUUGUACGGGCUACGACAAGCUCCUAGGGCAUGGAACAUCAAGCUUGACCGUACAUUGAUUUCUCUUGGUUUUGAGAAAAGUCCACUCGAGCAUGCUAUGUACAAGCGAGGUAAAGGCAAGGAUCGUCUCUUAGUGGGCAUCUAUGUUGAUGAUCUCUUGAUAACUGGAGCAGACGAAGAGGAGAUUGCGCGAUUCAAGCUACAGAUGAAGGAGCUAUUCAAGAUGAGUGAUCUAGGGCUCUUGACUUACUACCUCGGGAUCGAGGUACAUCAAAAGCCGGAGGGGAUCACACUGCCAGGAGGCAUAUGCAAAGAAGAUACUUGA